GUGAACGCUGGCGGCGUGCUUAACACAUGCAAGUCGAACGGUAACAGAAAGAAGCUUGCUUCUUUGCUGACGAGUGGCGCACGGGUGAGUAAUGUAUAGCUAAUGUGCCCCUUAGAGGGGGAUAACGUCUGGAAACGGACGCUAAUACCCCAUACUCCUUAUAGUUGAGAUACUAUAAGGGAAAUGAUUUUUCGCUAAGGGAUCGGGCUAUAUCGUAUCAGCUAGUUGGUGAGGUAAUGGCUCACCAAGGCAAUGACGCGUAGCUGGUCUGAGAGGACGAUCAGCCACACUGGAACUGAGACACGGUCCAGACUCCUACGGGAGGCAGCAGUGGGGAAUAUUGCACAAUGGGGGAAACCCUGAUGCAGCAACGCCGCGUGGAGGAUGACGCAUUUCGGUGUGUAAACUCCUUUUAUAUGGGAAGAUGAUGACGGUACCAUAUGAAUAAGCACCGGCUAACUCCGUGCCAGCAGCCGCGGUAAUACGGGAGGGUGCAAGCGUUACUCGGAAUCACUGGGGCGUAAAGCGCAUGCAGGCGGUCAAAUAAGUUGGAAGUGAAAUCCUCUGGCUCAACCAUAGAACUGCUUUCCAAAACUGUUUGACUAGAGUCUGGGAGGGGAAGAUGGAAUUAGUUGUGUAGGGGUAAAAUCCGUAGAGAUAACUAGGAAUACCAAAAGCGAAGGCGAUCUUCUGGAACAGUACUGACGCUGAGAUGCGAAGGCGUGGGGAGCAAACAGGAUUAGAUACCCUGGUAGUCCACGCCCUAAACGAUGAAUGUUAGUCGUCGGGUAGCUAGUCUAUUCGGUGAUGCAGCUAACGCAUUAAACAUUCCGCCUGGGGAGUACGGUCGCAAGAUUAAAACUCAAAGGAAUAGACGGGGACCCGCACAAGUGGUGGAGCAUGUGGUUUAAUUCGAAGAUACGCGAAGAACCUUACCUAGCCUUGACAUAUUUGAGAACACUUUAGAGAUAGAGUGGUGCCUUCGGGAGCUCAUAUACAGGUGCUGCACGGCUGUCGUCAGCUCGUGUCGUGAGAUGUUGGGUUAAGUCCCGCAACGAGCGCAACCCUCGUCACUAGUUACUAACGGUUCGGCCGAGGACUCUAGUGAGACUGCCUUCGCAAGGAGGAGGAAGGUGAGGACGACGUCAAGUCAUCAUGGCCCUUACGGCUAGGGCAACACACGUGCUACAAUGGUUAGGACAAUGAGACGCGAUACCGCGAGGUGGAGCAAAUCUAUAAACCUAAUCUCAGGUCGGAUUGUAGUCUGCAACUCGACUA
Molecule: ribosomal RNA, 1278 nt
Filed under: uncultured Campylobacterota bacterium
Lineage: Bacteria; Pseudomonadati; Campylobacterota
Description: bacterial SSU rRNA
Rfam family: Bacterial small subunit ribosomal RNA
Source: RNAcentral